This 1613-nucleotide long non-coding RNA is filed under the name Oryzias javanicus (javanese ricefish). Its description in RNAcentral is "lncRNA (ENSOJAG00000011114.1)". Lineage: Eukaryota; Metazoa; Chordata; Actinopteri; Beloniformes; Adrianichthyidae. The record is from RNAcentral.
UGAUAAAGAAAGAACGAGUGAACGAUCAGACGCGUUACUGUGAAAGUGGCGCGCGCGUCUUUAGCGGGUCAAACCGCUUUCCGGCGACACGUCCUCCUCCAGACAAACUACAGCUCCUCACGGGGGUUUAGAUGCAUUAACAUGCUGUAUCCAUCACUAUUUUAUGCGGUCAAUUCAUUUAAUUUCCAUGAAAUCGCUCUACCUUCUAGGGAGAAGUCAUCUUCUUGCUAGCAGGAAGAGCCUCGUUCAGAGACAAACCUCUUCCGGGUCAACCUCAAAUUCAAAAGGUUGACGGGAAUAUUCCAUUUAAAUACUUAUCUAAAACACAUAUGCAUACUGUUUUAAAUUAAAUGUUUGUUUUUUUUUCAUUCUUUUUUUUUAUUUCAACUGUUUUUCAUUGGGAAAAAAGUACAUCGAGAAGUAAAACGGAAGUAGUUCAACAGGUCUUGUAUGGCAAGCGUUAAGGGCCAAAACUCGCUAGAAAAUACACCGUAAAGAGCGAAGAUCUGACCGAGGUUCCGCACAGACCAGACUUGCCGGUACAUGUCCUCUCUGGAGGGUCCCGUCCCACCAGGGGGAGGCUGGGCGGGAUUUGAAGAGGCUGACCUGAGCGGCCUGGCUUCAGCUCCACGGUUGGAUCCUCGUCAUGGAUGGACGAGACCUGCAGGCUGGAUGUGAGAGGACCCUGCAGAGGUUACCGGUCUGGAUCAUAGAGCAUGUGUGGACUCACAAGAUCAUGGAUGUCCGAGAAGUUGUCGACUCGUCCAGCUGGCCGGAUGUGGAUUCUCAGCCUCUCAGCCUGGAGGACUCGUGGAGGCUGCGUGUCACCGCCGCACGCGUCUACUCCAUCAUGAAGAGCAGAGACCUGCAGAACUUUGAGAAAGUCUUGGGCUUCCUGGAAACCACUCGCAGGCUUUUACCCCGACUGGUGCCGGCCAUCAAACACAUGAAGAUCAUGUUUGGCGUGAAAACCAUGAUCAUUAUGUGGAUGCUGAAGGAACACAAAGGAAUAGUUGAAACUGUGACUCAAAUACUGCGGUUCUUCCCACACAAACUCCCUCAGUACCAAGAUCAGUGUAGUCCACGAGAAAUGUUCAUCAUGAGGAAGAAUCACGUGGACUUUAGGAAUCUGGCUCAAGCUCUCGCUAUAGACCAGGAGCGUCUGGAGGAUUACAUCAAGACUCAGAUGGAGAGGCAGUACGGAGAACGAUACGCUCAGAAGGUGGAAGAGCGGCUGUUGCUCUACCUCCACCUGCUGGAGGCGGAGCUACCAGGAGAGACUUACAUCGAUAAGGUGCGUCACUGGUGGACCGUCGCGUUCAGUCAAAGGCUGUUUUCAUAGACAUGUUCCUCUAACCCACAUGUGUCAAAGUCGAGGCCCGGGGGCCGGAUCCGGCCCUCCAGAUCAUUUGAUUUGAUUCUUAUUAAUGGUGUUAUCUUACACUUAUUUCUAACUUUGACAAAAUAUAUUUUUAUGCAUAGUAAAAUAUUGAAAGUUAUUUAAUAAUAUUCCUGCUGUUUUAUUAUUCUGAAUUAUGUUAAAAAGUUUUAAAAAUCAGCAUUUUGCAGCUUUUUGGACUAUUUUGGUUUUUACUGAGAUUUUUUUAGGCUAA